CGCGUGGGUAACCUGCCCCAUACAAUGGGAUAGCCACUGGAAACGGUGAUUAAUACCAUAUAAUAUCAGCGAAUCGCAUGAUUUGCUGGUCAAAGAUUUAUCGGUAUGGGAUGGACCCGCGUCUGAUUAGCUAGUUGGUAAGGUAAUGGCUUACCAAGGCGACGAUCAGUAGCCGACCUGAGAGGGUGAUCGGCCACACUGGAACUGAGACACGGUCCAG
Molecule: ribosomal RNA, 220 nt
Filed under: uncultured bacterium
Lineage: Bacteria
Description: partial 16S ribosomal RNA
Rfam family: Bacterial small subunit ribosomal RNA
Source: RNAcentral